RNAcentral lists this ribosomal RNA (253 nucleotides) under uncultured bacterium. Its description in RNAcentral is "partial 16S ribosomal RNA". It matches the Rfam family "Bacterial small subunit ribosomal RNA", at positions 524 to 776 of the family's 1533-position model. The record is from RNAcentral.
UACAGAGGUCUCAACCGUUGUUCGGAUUCAUUGGGCGUAAAGGGUGCGUAGGCGGUCGCGCAAGUCGGGUGUGAAAUCCCCGGGCUCAACCUGGGAAUUGCAUUCGAUACUGGAUAGCUAGAGUUCGGCAGAGGGAAGCGGAAUUUCGGGUGUAGCGGUGAAAUGCGUAGAUAUCCGAAGGAACAUCAGUGGCGAAAGCGGCUUCCUGGACCAGAACUGACGAUCAGGCACGAAAGCGUGGGGAGCAAACAGG